AACUUUUAAUAAAAUUAAUAAAUUAAUAUAAAAUA
RNAcentral lists this transfer RNA (35 nucleotides) under Apis mellifera (honey bee). Its description in RNAcentral is "partial tRNA-Leu". The record is from RNAcentral. Lineage: Eukaryota; Metazoa; Arthropoda; Insecta; Hymenoptera; Apidae.